Drosophila simulans is the source of this 922-nucleotide long non-coding RNA. RefSeq lists it as uncharacterized. NCBI's taxonomy places the organism in Eukaryota, Metazoa, Arthropoda, Insecta, Diptera, Drosophilidae. The transcript is spliced from 3 exons. The record is from RefSeq and is a predicted model, not a curated record.
GUAUGUUAAUUGGCAACAACUAUAUACUGAAAGUUGGUCACACUGAUCUGAAUAAGUUCUUGUUUUUCUGGAAACUUCUUCUUGUGUUAACUUUCAAACGACUCACAACGGUGUCACGUUUAUGUCAAAUAAAACAGUUAUUGAACUUUAACUAAAUCGCCUCGCGUUUUACUCCACCAUUUCAAAUAGGUUAUGGGCCCAGGAGUAGUAAAGACUUUAAUAAUUGUGUGUGAUCAAGAGAAAAAUAAUUAUUGUAUUUAAUUAGCUUGAACAUUUUUUAUAAACAUGAGCGGACAAGGGCUGUGUGCGAUCGACAAAUUGGACGGCGAAAAUUACGCAGUAUGUGUAGGUGGUAGUGUGCGAGUUAACAUUCCCCCCUCUCUCCGGCCACAGGGAGACAACACCGACCCAGCAACGAAAAGCUGAGAUCCGAGCCAAGAUUCAACGAAGAUCGCCAAUACGAACUCGGACGAAGACAUUUGGGAAAAACAUACAUAUACAUAUUUGUAAUAAGGGUACAAAUUGCUUCACAGGCGACCGUAUAUGUGUACAUCAAUCGCUGAUAAGGCACCGGGAUCGCUUGUGCGGGACAAUUUACAACAAUUAUACCAACAAGUUGCUGUAUGUGAUGACCGUAUAUGUGUACAUCAAUCGCCGACAAGGCACCGGGAUCAUCCAUACACCCUAACUCAUAAAAUAAUACCAACUAAAACAAAAAAACAAAUAAAAAAAAAAAAAAAAAAAUCUGACAUAUCAAACUGCUGUGUGUGGUGACCGUUUGUGUGUGUCGGAUAACACGUGUGCGUAUUUGGGAGAGUAUUGGAAUGCUUUUUGGUUAUUUCAUAAGAAUAGUAAUUAUAUCACUAUGGUAACAUUGCGAAUGGUUGUUGUAGUUCUAUAGUUCUGAGAACAAACGUUUGGC